RNAcentral lists this ribosomal RNA (78 nucleotides) under Steinernema texanum. RNAcentral describes it as "partial 28S ribosomal RNA". It matches the Rfam family "Eukaryotic large subunit ribosomal RNA", at positions 1 to 77 of the family's 3401-position model. Lineage: Eukaryota; Metazoa; Nematoda; Chromadorea; Rhabditida; Steinernematidae. The record is from RNAcentral.
GGGACCUUAACCAAAACAAAAAUACCCGCUGAACUUAAGCAUAUCAGUAAGCGGAGGAAAAGAAACUAACUAGGAUUU